Molecule: long non-coding RNA, 7838 nt
Organism: Globicephala melas (long-finned pilot whale)
Lineage: Eukaryota; Metazoa; Chordata; Mammalia; Artiodactyla; Delphinidae
Source: RefSeq, a predicted model, not a curated record
CCAUUCAUCUUUUUUCUGUAAAAUAAAGGUAUCUUCUUUAUUUACAGGGAGAAAAAAAAAGUAUUUUAAGUAGUAUAAAACUUCAAAGAAAAGGUGGCACAUUUUGUCUUAAAAACAAAUAGUUUAAUUUCACUUUUAUCUGGAACAAAACAAGUUUAAAAGGAAAGAGCAAGCGCUUUGACAUGUCAUCACGUGUCAUUUUUUAUGGUACUACUUUUGUUCAAAAUGUGAAGACACAGAACCUUUAUACAUUUCAGGAAGCAAAAUGCAGAUGAAAACAGAUUGGUUAUAAAAUGUCAAUUCACUAAAUACUGCAUUUUCUCUGUUUUUAUGGAGAAUAUUUCAUAGAAACACUGUAUAAAAUAAGGCAGACUUUUGGAAAUUCAAUUAUAAAAUUUUAGGAAAAAAGUGUGAAGUCCUAGUUUCUUCCACUUUGGGGAGUCACCUGCAGAGCCCGUCAGACAACUAGAGCAGUUUCUGAGCUCUGGUUGCUGUACAGGAGCCCUUCUCCUUGAGUGCUUCUAGAAUCAGACCCACCCACAAAACAGCUUUUCCCAAUUAGCAUCAAUCAGGAAAGUUUAACAUACACAAAUAUUUCUAUAGUGCAGUAAAAAUGUGUCAUUUUGUAUUUUAAAUUUGCAUUAUGAAAAUAAGUCUGUACACAAAGUAAUACAUAUUUAAUGAAUAUGAAUCAUGUAAAUUUGGUUAUGGCAUUUAAAAGUUGGCUUUGGCUUUGAAGUAUUUUUAAAUUCAUAGAAAAUAUUGAACUUCUAAUAAAAUAAAUAAAACAUUUUAAUAAUUGAUAUUAAUAACUUCAAAAUUUCUUUGCAUUUUCUGUUCAAUUUUAAAAGAGAAGUCAUUGCACCUUCUACGAUGUGAAAAAAUCCGAUUGCCAUUGCCAUCCGAUUGUUCUUAAGUGCUGAACAUAACAGAGAAACUGCAACAAGACACUCUCUGUCACUGGCAGGAAAUCCAUCACCGUCCCUCGCGGGGGCAGUCCCGAGCUCAUGUUUUCACGGACGUGAAUGCAAACCAUGGUUCUCACGUGACUUUCUGAAGCCCCCCCGCAGCAGGCCCAGGUACCUUGAGUGGACUAAGUCUCACUUUAUGGCAAUGGCAUCAGAUGGUGGCUACAGAAGGUUGCCGACGUCCCUGUGUGCUCUUACAGGCUCUGCAGACCGGGGGACGAAAGGACCAAGGAAAUCUGACUGCCCUCAGGAAUCCCAAGUGACUGGAGGGACACAGCGUCAGGGCCCCAGGCAGUGCUGCCCACUAUUCAGGAGGUGGGCGGAGGCUCCGCAGCUUCAUUUCGUCCAGUCCCUUCCAGUAUUUAAAAUUGUUGUCAAGAUGCUGCAUUAACUCAGGCAGGUCUACAAAGGCUAGAGAAAAAAGAUGGCACUGUGAUACCCUUUCACAGCCUCAGUAAAUUUAGACUUUGAGGCUUUCUAAGGAGAGAGCAUUUUACGGAAGAGGGGCAGACAGGAGCAGACAACUGCACAGUGCUCAGCAGACACAGCAAACCCAGUGGCCGGAAUGAACUAAAGCCAAGUCCUGUGCUCAGUGCCAGCAGCUCCUCUGUAACCACCUGGUGAGCUGACAACUGGUAGGUGAAGCAGAAGGGGAGCUCAUCUGCAUACUCACCAUUUGAUCAGCACCUUUGGGGCCCAGGGUGCCAGGAGCCAGGCCCUAGGCCCUGACUGGCUCUCCUGGGAGUUCUCCCUGCUCCCCCCGCAAUUUAUACCACCAUCUUCCACCUGCAGCACAUGCCCUAGGGCAUGAGUGGGGAGCAAGUCAUUUUACAUAUGAAGAAAAUGGGGCCAGGAGAGGCCAUGAAUCUGGACUCAAGGAGCUGCAGAGCCUGCAGUCUGGCCCCAAAGCUGCAGCUCUUUCCACCGUCUGAGUCGUCCUUCCCCCACCUCCCAGCACCCUGAGAUGGGGGUUUGUCUCCUGCCCAUGGAUCUGGACAGGGAGUAUUAGUGGGGCCCCUUCCCUGAGAGUCCUUUACGUGACAGGCUCCUGCAGGCACCUGAGGUUAAAGAAGAGGGACGUGUACCCGUCAGAGACCAGCCUGCUCUCGGGUCGGCUACCACGUGAGGCGGGAGAAGCUGGGGGAGCGGAUGGCAAAAGGGCUCCCACAGAACGACGUGGGCUUUGGAGUCAACGUAAGUGUUUCUGAAUCCUGGGCUCUCCACCACCGGCUGUGCAGCCCCAAGUUCAAUCCUCUCAUCUAUGAAACUGGCACAACAACGUCUAGCCCCUGGGGCCAGGGGCAGCUGAGGAGGAAGAGUACAGAGAGCACCCCGCCCUCACGGCCCUCGGUGUCAGCUCACUGCUUCUCCUCAGCCCUUCUUCAAAGUCUGAGCCCCCAAACAUAUAUCUACAGUCAAAAACUACACUAUGCACUACUUAAUAUGCAGUUCCCCGUUACUGAGGGAAAUAUGCUCAAAGCGUUCUUACCGUCCCAAGCAGCAAACAUGUCUGUGAUGAAGUAGUCAAUGAAAGAGAUUUGAGAUUUGGGGAUGCUGCAGGUAUUUCUGUCAAAAACUGGCAUCACCACAGGCAAGUCCUGUCGCUUCUCUUCAUCAGUCUGCAAAGCAGAAAAUGCCAGAAUUACGAGGCUCCAGUAUCUGGCUCCACUCCCCGUCAGCAGCAACCCCUCUGCCAAAAGCCUCUCCUGGCAGCCCAGGGUGCUCGUGGGGAGAAGCCGAUCGCAGCACCAGCCAACAACCCGGAUCUGCCACUACAUACCACGUCAUCCCCGAUGGGGGCUGCUCUAUGCCAGGGGCACCAAGGACACCCCAACCCAACCCACAUUUUCAACACCUGGAACCCUCUUGCUGAAGCUCCUGAGGUACGACUGCAAAUGGUACCUGCGGUGCAUGAGCACACUAGUCAGCUCAGCCAUCCUUCCACCCAGCAGGCGUUUCAAGGGCCUGAUCCAGGGCGGCAAUGGUUGCUUUCAUCAAAGGGUCCUGGAGAAAAGGAUGAGGGGAUGCCUGGAGGAUGAUGAUGAAGCAGGAGGUCUUCCUGGAACGAGGUGGGAAUGAGGGCAAACUGGGCCAGUCCCCCUUGUUGAUCUUGACAACUGGCCAGCAGCUGCCUCCCCUGUUCCGUUCACUUCUGUUCUGCUGUCUUGGCCGAGGCCUGGCAAUCACCAGCAGGGCCGCAGGGACUGGUUAGAAGCCACCUUGCCCUGCACAAAGGUGGAUCCAAGGCCCGGGCGACUGGAAGAACUAGGCCCCACAGCUAACGGCAGGUGACUUUCCCUGGAAGUGACAAUGACUCACUACAGCUCUCAACAUGGAAUCUCCACUUGGGGGCAGCAGGUACAUGGAGCUUCUCAGGCCCUAUUCGCUUUUGAAGACCACUGUUUGUUUGCCAAUGAAGUCCUCCGUGCCCAUGCCCCACUUCUAGGCCACCAAUGAGAUCUCCAUGCCUGGGAGACAGUCAAAGAUUCUACAGUAACCAAGUGAAUCUCCAAUCAAGAAAAAGCCAUAUUCAAAAUGGAAUUAAGAAGCUGCAUCUUACCUGAGAAAAAUAUUCUUCUGAGAUACGUGCGGCCCACUCAAUGCACUGUUCCAGGGGUCGGCAGGGAUUGGACACAUCAGCACACUUAAUCAGCAUUCGUUUGAUCAAACUGCGGUUGUCUGGAGUUCUGAGCAUAGUGAUUAUGGCUUCUUGAUUUUUAUCAGUUUCCUAAAACAUGAGUGGAAUUCAAAGCAAUCAAAAUGGGGCCCCAGGUACCAAGCCGGUUUACUCCUGCGGUCCCACUGUAACCACAGUAAGGCACUGCCCAGGAUCUACAAGUUAGGAUCUCACAAACAGUGCGGAGGAUACUCUGCGGAUUGAGCUUGGCCCCUUACUCUACAAACGGGAAAACCAAGGCCUAGUGAGAUUCCAGCAGGACCCAGAAGUAGAGGGUAGCGCUGGAGGUUGGCGUAUCUGCCUUUCCUCUUCUUUUUGGCUCUUCCUCUCACUCUCACAGUUACCUUUUCUUUCUGUUCUAUUAUGUCUAUCAUGCUCCCUUGGUAAGCACUCAAAAGACUGGCUUUAUCUUUUAUUAUAUUCACUAAAAAACAGAGUGAACUGAAAAAUAAAAGAUUUCUCUGCCCUCAUAACAAAGCAUCUUAUAGUCCACCAGGGGCUCUGCUUCUCACACGCCAAUCUCCAGUCACCUAGCUCUGUGAGAGGUAUGAUCUUGGGAACUAGCUGUCCGUGUACCAAGGCUGUGUCAGAUAUAGUGAUACGUCCUCAACACUGCCCUAACAUUUUAUGGUGUACAGAGGACUUAGUCAUUCUCUUUUGGUCUGCACUCACAAAAAGGUCCUGUGGUAGGCAUGAAAAUCAGUAUUAUUUACACUGUUACAUUUUACAGAUGAGAACCCUGGGACCCUGAGAGGUGAAGAAACUUGUCCAAAGCUACCCAGCUGAGCCAGGAUAAGAACCUAAGUUCUACCUUUAGUCCUGGAUUCUGUCUAUUCACAGUACCACAUGCUAUCUGAUUCACAAGGAGCCCCUCUGGAUAUGGAAUCUCAAUCCAGGGUGUGAGGGACUCUCUGCUUAUUGGCCCCCUGAAGCAAAUUCAGAUUGGAAGAGGGAGUCCUGGGGCAAAGAACGUGGUAAGAGGCAUGAGCAAGCAUCUCCUCAUUCUGAUCCUGUGCCCAUCGGGCAACUUUCCAGAGGAGUCAGUCAUGUGAUUUCUGUGCGUAGUCACAGUAGUCUAAGAAGGCCUGAUGAUCCUGUCUCAGUGGGGACAGAUCUACCAUCAAGAUGGGUAGGAGGCAUCCCGAGCCCAGGCUGCCUAGUCUCCUGGAGAGCGCCAGAGUGGACACUGUGAGUGUCCUCAGUAGUUCUCCUUGUUUCCCACUGCCAACCAGGUUUGUGCUGACCCCUCUCUCUUCAGGUGUGUGACUACAGUACUGCCAGCUGGAAACCAUUUUCUUUCAUGAUACUUUGUCCCUGCUCUGACCCACUGGAUACUGAUUUCCAGUCUCUCAGAAGUAACUCCAAGUACCGACAAAAGAGAUGAGAAACGUUGACUGGCAAGUGGAAUGGAAGACUCAGCUAAGUCUAGGAACUUCCCAGAACAGAUGGAGGAAACCCAAGUCUACGAGUUAUCAGGCCCCAUACUAGACACUGAGGGCACAGUGAGGAAGAGAAGACAUAUGACACUGUGAUCUUACAGCGCUUAACAGUCAAACCAGAAUCAAGCAAACGAAGGAACCUGGGACUGAACAAUUAAUGUGAGGGGCAGGGAAGGCUUCCGCAAAGAAGUGACGUGUGAACAGAGACAACGACGAGACGUCUGCUGGGCAGAGUGGAGUCUUCCAGGCAGAGAUGUAAGGUGACAGCUUCUCUGGGUCUCUCGAGGUGUCUGCCUUAUACUUUGUCGUCUUGGAAUGUCAAGACACAAAGGAACUGAACCUUGAAAACAUCGUGCUAAGUGACAGAAGCCAGACACAAAAGACACAUACUGGGGAUGCUUCCAUUUAUGUGAAAUGUGCAGAACUGGCAAAUCUAUGGAGAGGGAAAGUAGACCUAGAGCUGUGGGAGUUGAGGGGGGAAUGGGGAGAGACUGCCAGUGAGCUCGAGGUUCUUUUGCGGGGUGAUGGAAAUGUUCUAAAUUUCGACUGUAGUGAUGGUCACACAACUCUGAAUAGAAGAAAAACCACUGUACACUUUAAACGGGUGAACUGUAGAGUACGUGAAUUAUAUCUUAAUAAAAUUGUUUUUUAAAAAAAGAGAGAGGAAACAUACUUUCCAACUCGUUGUUCUUACCUCUCCAUGUUUUUAAAGAUGUUGCAUUUAUCAUCACCAGUGGUCAGCUGGAAGGCCAAGGCCGCGUGGUGUCUCUCGAGCACAGCAGUGUCGUUAUACAGAAUGGCCAGCUCACUCCCAGCAUUGCACAGGAAGGAGUUUGUUCUCCCGGGGUGGUCCAGGUCAUGGACAGUGGCUGCAAUGAGGGCAGUGACCUCAUCAAGUGGAUCUAAAGUUUGCUGAAAACAAGAGAUCAUUUAAAAAUUGGGGCAAGGCAUUGAAAGCAAGGUAGCCUUCUGGGUAGUAGUUUUCUUUCUGCCCUAUUACUUUAAGGUAAGGAUGUUUCGGAUUUCUGAGAAAAGCAUAAUGUUGAGCAAACUCAGUUUUCCCAUCUCCACUCAGACACAGUUUCAUCUUUGCAUGUUUAUUAGGAAACAUUAUCUGAUUCUCAGUCUCACAAGUUAAGGACUUACCAAGACACAGGUGUCCUCAACAGACAGGAGUCACCUCCUCAGAAAGUCUGUCUCUAGACCCAUCACAAAAAAAGGCCUUUAGUCUGAGAUAUUGACUUAGACCAACAUAAACUAGUAUUACUGAAUAAAAGAGAGAAAUAAUUUUUUAAGUUAUGCAUCUCUUACAUUAACUGGGGAUUGGUCUAUAGUUUUCUCCCCCCUUCUGCUGCUACCUUUGUCAGGUUGAUUUCAGGGUUUUGUGACUCUGUAAAAUGAUCUGGACGUUUUCCAUCUUUUUCAAGACUUUGAAACGGUUUAUGUAACAUGGAAAAAUUCCUUAGAGGGCUAAAGAACUCACCUGUCCAUCUGGGUCAGGAGCCAGGUUUUGAAGAAAUUAGUUGAUAGUUUAAAAACAACUCCCAUGGUACUGACCUCUCUCUUGGUUUUCUACUUCCAGCAUUAAUUUGAUUUAAAACUCUAAGUACAGAAGUGUAUGGUACUUUCUUCUAUUAAUCUCCAUUUCAAAUGCGUGUAUUUCUGUGUUUACUGUGUUUCUGAUUAGUUUGGCUAGAACUUAAUUCUCUUGGUGUUUCAAAGAAUCAUUCUGGAUUAUCACUUUGCUCUUCCCAUUUUACAGGUUUUGAUACAUAGGCUUCUCAUUUUGUUGUUUUCUAAACUGUUAUUUUUGGCUUUAUUUCCUUGCUUAUCCCUAAAUUGUUUGAAAUAUUUUCUCAUUUGUAGUGACUAACAUUUUUUAUUUAACUUUUAGUUAUUAAAUUCUAGUUUUUGUUGUGGUUAGAAAAUACAGUCUAUGAAAUUUUGAAGUUUAUCAAGACAGUAAUUGUGUCCUAGUAUAAGAUCAUUUUUGGAAAUAUUCUACAAACACUUGAAAACAAGGUGUAUAUCUAAUAAAUCAGUCUUGUAAAAUUUAUUUAAAUUGAAAUUCAACAGUUUUAUCUUUAAAUGGGUGAAUUUUAUGAUGUGAAUUAUAUCAAUGCUAUUAAAAAUUAAUAAGUUAGCUUUCUGAAUAUAUAUUUGUAUGUUAUCUAUAGAGGAGUUCAAAAUCAAUAAAUUACAGCAAAAGUUAGGUUGUCUUUAUAUGCUGAACCAUAUUGACACAGACAUCUCUCCUCUGCCAUUUGUCUUCAUGCUUUAUAAAAACAGCCCUCUCUCUGGACUCUUAUUAUGCCUACAGUCUGUUGUUAUUAAAACAACAACAACAACAAAACCCGAAAAACCAAACUAGAGGGAAAGAGAAAGCGCAAAUGGGAGACCCAGCUCUGAGAAGAUAGGAUUUCAGGGUGGGGAGUGACUCAACAUGACCACGUGCUGGAAUCAUCCCCGCACGCUGCUCUCCUCCCUACAACUAACUAGUCGCAGGUACAGAUGAGGUAGUGGGACCGGGAUGCACUGGCCCUCACUCUGCUGACUGCCAGGGCUGGUCCUGGCCACCAUGUGGCCUUCCUCAGAUGCCAGGACAUCAGGCAGUGAUGCCUCGCUGUCUCAUUCCUCACGAGGCCCUGUUUCCUUAGGUACAAAACCAACAGUUUGAUUCAACUGCUCUCAAGUAUACAAUACUUCUGAAAGUGAAAUGGCCACGCACUAGAGCUCCCUGGACCCUCUGUACCA